UAUUAGACUAAGAAUUUAAAGCAAAUACAAGCUUCUUAACUAAGCAAAUAUAUCAAAUAUAAACAAAUGGAGUAAAGAGAAGCUCUCAAACGAAUUUUGAAGAUGAAGGAACUCGGCUUCUUCUUUACUUGACCCUCUUCUGAUUUGGCACGAGGUAGAGGAUGAUUGAGGCAGCACACGGAUGGAGAGGAAGCUUUGGGAUUCACUUGGAUGCUCUUCUUC
This 222-nucleotide long non-coding RNA is filed under the name Phoenix dactylifera (date palm). RNAcentral's name for it is "long non-coding RNA (PDAC_LNC021956)". The record is from RNAcentral. Lineage: Eukaryota; Viridiplantae; Streptophyta; Magnoliopsida; Arecales; Arecaceae.